RNAcentral lists this ribosomal RNA (450 nucleotides) under uncultured bacterium. RNAcentral describes it as "bacterial SSU rRNA". It matches the Rfam family "Bacterial small subunit ribosomal RNA", at positions 29 to 523 of the family's 1533-position model. The record is from RNAcentral.
AACGAACGCUGGCGGCAGGCUUAACACAUGCAAGUCGAACGCAUCCUUCGGGAUGAGUGGCAGACGGGUGAGUAACGCGUGGGAAUUUACCCAGCUCUACGGAACAACUCAGGGAAACUUGAGCUAAUACCGUAUACGCCCUUUGGGGGAAAGAUUUAUCGGAGUUGGAUGAGCCCGCGUUUGAUUAGCUAGUUGGUGGGGUAAAGGCCUACCAAGGCGACGAUCAAUAGCUGGUCUGAGAGGAUGAUCAGCCACACUGGGACUGAGACACGGCCCAGACUCCUACGGGAGGCAGCAGUGGGGAAUAUUGGACAAUGGGCGCAAGCCUGAUCCAGCCAUGCCGCGUGAGUGAUGAAGGCCCUAGGGUUGUAAAGCUCUUUCAACGGUGAAGAUAAUGACGGUAACCGUAGAAGAAGCCCCCGGCUAACUUCGUGCCAGCCGCCGCGGUAA